GGUCACCACAACAUGAGGAACUGUAUUAAAGGGUCGUGCCAUUAGGAAGGUUGAGAACCACUGGUAUAGAUUAACACAGGAAAGGUGUAGCAAAAAUUUAAUUUUAUAAUCUCUUUCAAUAUAAUAUCCAACACCUUUUCUCAUCAUUGUGAUAGGUUCAUAAUGCCUUCAGCAGCCUCAAAUUUAUUGAUAUCAUGAAUGGAGUGGUGGACUACAUGUAUAAUGUCAAGAACUGUGGGGGAAAUGAAAGGCAUGGCCCCUUGCAGUUUCAAUUUUAAACCAAGAAACUUCCAAUUUGGAAAAAAUAUUUCUCCACUGACCUUCUGCCCUGCAUAGACUGUGUGAUGUUAAUGUGAAUAUGCAGCACAUGGAAAGGCAAUAUUCCUUACAGCAAGAAUGCAGAAACCACAGCCCAUACCCCAUGAGCUGUGGUUUGUGCAUUCUUGAUGAAUGUGGCAGUCAGUUGAUUUGUUGAUGGUCUGCCUUAUUAUGACUUGUUAAAAUAAGUCACACAACCAACAAAAUAUUUGUAGUUUUGAAUAAUGCAUUUUCAAAUAUUUUUCUGAUAUAAAAUUAUGUUUACAGUGGUUCAACAAUAAUGUUUUUAAAC
RNAcentral lists this long non-coding RNA (610 nucleotides) under Androctonus crassicauda. The record is from RNAcentral. Lineage: Eukaryota; Metazoa; Arthropoda; Arachnida; Scorpiones; Buthidae.